Molecule: ribosomal RNA, 329 nt
Filed under: uncultured eukaryote
Lineage: Eukaryota
Description: partial 18S ribosomal RNA
Rfam family: Eukaryotic small subunit ribosomal RNA
Source: RNAcentral
CCCUUAGAUGUUCUGGGCUGCACGCGCGCUACACUGAUGCGUUCAACGAGUUUAUGACCUUGCCCGAUAGGGUUGGGUAAUCUUUUUAAAUCGCAUCGUGAUGGGGAUAGAUUAUUGCAAUUAUUCAUCUUCAACGAGGAAUUCCUAGUAAACGCAAGUCAUCAGCUUGCAUUGAUUACGUCCCUGCCCUUUGUACACACCGCCCGUCGCACCUACCGAUUGAAUGGUCCGGUGAAAUCUUCGGAUCUGAGAGAUGUCUGAUUAAUUUCGGACGCCUUUUGGAAAAGUUGUUUAAACCUUACCAUUUAGAGGAAGGUGAAGUCGUAACA